RNAcentral lists this ribosomal RNA (429 nucleotides) under bacterium. Its description in RNAcentral is "partial 16S ribosomal RNA". It matches the Rfam family "Bacterial small subunit ribosomal RNA", at positions 355 to 776 of the family's 1533-position model. The record is from RNAcentral.
UAGGGAAUCUUCGGCAAUGGGGGCAACCCUGACCGAGCAACGCCGCGUGAGUGAAGAAGGUUUUCGGAUCGUAAAGCUCUGUUGUAAGAGAAGAACGUGUGUGAGAGUGGAAAGUUCACACAGUGACGGUAACUUACCAGAAAGGGACGGCUAACUACGUGCCAGCAGCCGCGGUAAUACGUAGGUCCCGAGCGUUGUCCGGAUUUAUUGGGCGUAAAGCGAGCACAGGCGGUUUAAUAAGUCUGAAGUUAAAGGCAGUGGCUUAACCAUUGUUCGCUUUGGAAACUGUUAAACUUGAGUGAAGAAGGGGAGAGUGGAAUUCCAUGUGUAGCGGUGACAUGCGUAGAUAUAUGGAGGAACACCGGUGGCGAAAGCGGCUCUCUGGUCUGUAACUGACGCUGAGGCUCGAAAGCGUGGGGAGCAAACAGG